RNAcentral lists this ribosomal RNA (253 nucleotides) under uncultured Gemmata sp. RNAcentral's name for it is "partial 16S ribosomal RNA". It matches the Rfam family "Bacterial small subunit ribosomal RNA", at positions 524 to 776 of the family's 1533-position model. The record is from RNAcentral. Lineage: Bacteria; Pseudomonadati; Planctomycetota; Planctomycetia; Gemmatales; Gemmataceae.
GACGAACCGUGCAAACGUUGUUCGGAAUCACUGGGCUUAAAGGGCGCGUAGGCGGGCGACCAAGUCAGGGGUGAAAUCUUUCGGCUCAACCGGAAAAGUGCCCCUGAUACUGGCCGCCUCGAGGGAGGUAGGGGCAUGUGGAACUCCAUGUGGAGCGGUGAAAUGCGUAGAUAUGUGGAGGAACGCCGGUGGCGAAAGCGACGUGCUGGACCUUUCCUGACGCUGAGGCGCGAAAGCUAGGGGAGCGAACGGG